This is a long non-coding RNA of Gossypium raimondii (Peruvian cotton), 386 nucleotides long. RefSeq lists it as uncharacterized. NCBI's taxonomy places the organism in Eukaryota, Viridiplantae, Streptophyta, Magnoliopsida, Malvales, Malvaceae. The transcript is spliced from 2 exons. The record is from RefSeq and is a predicted model, not a curated record.
CCAUCAACUUGAAAUCAAACAAAAACCCCCUUUUUAAACACUAAAAAGAAUAUUUUCUUUCUUUCUUUGACAUUGCGCCGUAAUGCUCUCCUUCUGCCCUCCUCUGCUCCUAUGGCCAUGAAACAAAGGAGUUUCAACGACGUCACACCGGUACGUGGAAAAAGCAAGGUGUGCUGAUCGUGGGUGGUUGCUGCGAUGUGAGCAGUUGCUGCGGCAUUCGCGGAGGCUUUUUGCUGCUGCAGUACUGAGGCAAAAGGGCUAGGCUCCUUGAUUCUGUUAUGGGUUUAUUGGGCUAAUGUAAUUGGGUUACAAUUUAGGCUUGUAACAUUUGUAAUUGGGCCACGUAAAUUAAGAUUUUAAAUGGACUGGGACCUUUGUUUAUUUAA